This 243-nucleotide ribosomal RNA is filed under the name Trypanosoma copemani. RNAcentral describes it as "partial small subunit ribosomal RNA". It matches the Rfam family "Eukaryotic small subunit ribosomal RNA", at positions 397 to 631 of the family's 1831-position model. The record is from RNAcentral. Lineage: Eukaryota; Euglenozoa; Kinetoplastea; Trypanosomatida; Trypanosomatidae.
UGAGAAAUAGCUACCACUUCUACGGAGGGCAGCAGGCGCGCAAAUUGCCCAAUGUCAAAAAAAAACGAUGAGGCAGCGAAAAGAAAUAGAGCCGGCAGUGCCAAUGGCAUUGCCGUUUUCAAUGGGGGAUAUCUAAACCCAUCCAAAAUCGAGUAUCAAUUGGAGGACAAGUCUGGUGCCAGCACCCGCGGUAAUUCCAGCUCCAAAAGCGUAUAUUAAUGCUGUUGCUGUUAAAGGGUUCGA